CAAACAUAUAAUUCGCAAAACUGCCGUUUGCAAAACACUUUCAUCUCAAUGUUCAUCUUAGGUGCUUUUAUUUUUAAAUUUUUAUGCCAGGAUGGUUUCCUAGUUGUUGCUGUUUCCUGCUGGGCUUCAUUAAUUAGCCUCUGUCACCUUUACCUCUGGCUGCAGUCUGGCUAUGAGUUCUGUCUCCUUUAUUCCUACCUGCAGCUUGAGUUAGUCCAUCAAAAACAUGUAUGUGAGGGAGUUCCCUGGUGGUCCAGUGGUUAGGACUCAGUGCUUUUACUGCCGUGGCCCAGGUUCAGUCCCUGGUGGGGGAACUAAGAUCCCGCAAGCCGAGUGGCGUGGCCAAAAACAAACAAAAAAUGUAUGUGAAGGUGAAAAUGCUGGGUGUCUGACACCACCAUAUCCUUGUGCAGAGGCCUCUGAAGGUGAAAAUUCUGUCAUGGGCUUCUCAUUGCGUCUUGAGCCGUUUCUGGUCACUGCUUCUCUAACACUGCAGACCUUUCUAGCACAUCUGCCCUGGAGAGGCACCUGAUCAGCACCAUCACACUAAUUCAGUAAUAAGUGAGAGGUGUCUGGAUUCUGAAAACCAAGCAGCAAAUGGGAACUUCUCACCCUCGCCCUCAGAUGCAGCUUUCCAAGGUUGGAAAGUGCCUUUCUUCUUGGAUUAGCACAGCUCUGUGGAAAUCUGGUACAAAGUUCAUCACUGUCCAACAGGGUAAGUCAGUCCACAAACAAGGAGCCUCAUUUAGGGAUCUGAAAAAUCCAUUUCGAAGUAAGCAAUCUAUGAGUUGCUUCUACUGUCUAGUCAGCUCUCAAGUGACAAAAUAUAAUAGAGCCCUUACUUUGGUAAGACAUGCAAUUACAGAAGGUCACUAUGGACUUCUAAAAGCUGACGUUCAAGUUUAAUCAGACACAUCACAGCUAACACCUCACAGAUGACUGGAUAGGAUGGUUUUGUUUUUCUUCAUGUCCUGAACAAACACUUCAUAACACCAGAUACCAUAUGCCCUCGGUGGAAUAAUACUAGCUAAUAUUAAGUGCUAUUUACCAGUUGUGAUUCUAAGUACUUUACAUUUGAAGUGGAGCUAUUAUUGCCAUUUUACAGAUGAGAAAACUGAGACAUAGGUUAAAUAACUUGCCUUAAGACCACACAGCUAUUAUGCAUCAGAAAUAUUUGAAGUCAGGCAGCUGAACUCUAAAGCUCAUGCUUUCCUGAACUGCUGGUCAAGCUUUCAAAUUAUCAGCUUAAAGUCGGAUCUGACUUACAUUGACUCUUGGGCCACUGUUAAGUAUGGAAAAGGUACUGGCUGGUAACUCAAACACUAGAAAUCCCUGGCGUGGAGCACAUGGAGCAUAUGCCUGUGUGGCACGGUUCCCCUGUGGCACUUGGCAUCAUGAGGUAGGGACAGGGUCUAUCUUGGACAAAGGCAAUCCUUAAGCACCAUAUUGCUCAUAAAAUCAUCAGGAUGUUGAAGGAAAAGGCAUGAUCUAAUCCCCAGCUGGAUAGGUAGAGUUCCAGUCAGCUACUCCAGAGAUGGGUAGUGAACAGAUGCAGAGGCUCAGGCCUGGACUGAGGCUUGAGUCCAAACCAUAUGCUAGAAGAGGUUUGGUGUAAGGCAGUAAGAGGUAGGAACACUGACAAACUAGGAAGCAUACGAUGCUGAAGGCACUCUUAGAAUUUUAAGUUUAAGCACCUAAGAGUGCUGGCUGGCCAAACAUAUCACACCUGUGGGUCAAAGUGGUCCAUGGGCCAGAAAUCUGUCACCCUUGGGCUAAAGGUGACUUUCAGACAACUAUCUAUGGAAAAGAGGUGGUGAGCAAAUUCAUAAGAGAAAAGCCUGAUCUACUAAAAAUAGCAACUUUAAAUUAUAUUAAUUACAUGGGAUAAUAGUGGAUAAAAGUACAGACUGAAUUCAAAUUAUUCUGCUUUGAGAAUCAGUUUACUCUUCUGUAAAAUGGGGCCAAUGCCAACUGCUUCACAGGACUGCUGAGAAUAAAAAGAAAUCAACUAAGCAGCCUCGCACAGUCCUCAGUAUAUUAAGAAGGUAAAUGUAUUGGCCCACACAUACUGUGGGAAGGCAGUGGUGAGUUUGGCCUAGGGGAUGACUGAAUCAAUGGCUCUAGUGCAUCCAUCAGGCCUUCUCCAUCUCUUGGCUUUGCUCUUGUGUUAGAUUUAUUCUCUUGGACUGACUUCUCUGCGUGGCAGUUCAGACCUUACGUCCUUACAGCUCUGUGACAAGAAAAGGGCUCCUUUUCCUACCUCCAGUAUGAAAAAUCCCCAGAUAAGGACUCUGAUUAGUCUGACUUGGCUUGAAUGUCCAUCCCUUAGGCCAGUGGUUCCCCAGAUCAGCAUUAGAUAUCAGGGAAUUUGUUGGAAAUGCAAAUUAUCAGCCCCCCCUCCCCCUGAUGCAGGGGUGAGGCCGAACCACCUGAACAAGUCCUCCAAGUGGAUCUGAUGCACACUGAAGCCUGAGAACCACUGCCUUGGAAAGGGAGUGAGGUACUACAAUGGGUCUAUCUUGGAUUACAUGCUCGGUUGGGAGUUAUUACUAAAAAAGAUGGGGUACUGGGCAGACAAAAACAUGUAUCCAAUAUGUCCUUUCUUUCAAAAGUUGACAUACAGGAACUAUGACCUGCCAACAUUCUCAGGUGAAGGGGAGGAUGAGGGCAGUACUGGUUAGAGACAAGGCUUAUUAGAAAGCUGCCCAUUCAGGAAGAGCUUUGCCUUUGUCCUUCUCCUUGCAACCCUCAGCGAUCUUUAUAAGGCCCCAAUUCUCCAUGGGAACCUCCUUGAUGAUGGCUCCCACUCCAUCAGAAAUGCUCAGAUUCCUUAGGGCUUCUCUUCCUCCCUGCUUUCUCCUUCCCUUCACUUAAUAAAUAUCUGUUGAGCACCUAAAUGUCCUGCUCUCAUGAAAGUAAACAAAUUAGAGCCAUGGAGUAAAUAAACAGGGGCUGUUGGUCCACAGGGUAAGAAACCAGCCAUCAAACAAUCUGGGGAAGUGAACUACAGGAUGGAACUACAAAAGAUCUGAGACAGGAAAGAGCUUGCCAUUUUAGAAAGCACACACAAAAAAGUCUAGAAAGUAGAGUACUAUGAAAGGAGAGAGGCAGAAAGUCUGCUGUCUCCAUUAAGAAGCUUGGAUUUUAUUCUCCACACAAUGGGAAGCAAUUAAAAGUUCUACGCAGAUGAAAGACAUCAUCCAGUUUACUCAAAACUAUUUUAACUGCUGUGUGAAGAAUGUACUAUACAGGGUUAAACAUGGAAGCUGGGAGGCCAGUGCCAUGCCAAAGGCCAACAGCACCAAUUGCUUCUGCUUCAUGAGAAUUGCCAUUAAAAUACCUCCUCUUCCCUGCACCAGCUACCACACUUACGGGGAAAAAAAACUUUCAAUAUGCUGCUAAGUGAUAAUCAGGCUCUAAGAGUCAAUGUGAGUUGGCAUUUCUUGUUCUUUACUCUUCAUGAGAAAUCAGCAACCCAGUUUAUCAAAAAUCCAAACCCAUAAACAUGAUCUCUUACUUCAAAGGUAUCUUCAAUGCCAUUAACGCAAAGUUUCAGAAAUAAAUAAUCCUGAGAACAAGGCUUGCAAAAAUGACCAACCUGACAACGCCAUUAGCACCCAUCUCACUACUGAAAAGAAGAAUGGUUAUUAUUCCUCAUAUCAAAAUAACAUCAUGGACAGUGAUUGUCAAGGGCCAUGAGGACAAAUGGUUUGUGAAAAACAACUUCCCUUCACUGCAUACCCUAAAAUUGUAGCCAUUAACUUACCUGUCUGCUUGAGUUCAGCUACCGUCAUAGAAAGAAGAUCAUUAUUCUGCACUAGCUCAAAGCCGAAGACAGGCUGUGAUCCCGGAAUUGGCAGAAUGUAGCUUAUCCCCAUACCUCUGGUAUGGAUAGUGCUGGAAGCCAAUCUGAUAGCACAGUCCAGGCUUCCCAAUUCACACAACACCUAAGACUUGCUUUUGGAUCCUGAAUGACUAGAUUAACUAUUAUAUGGCCCCCCAGAGAAAAGCUGGGCCCAUCACUUGCUUAGCCAACCACAUCUUCUCAUAAGCAUUCAUCACUAUGACCAGACUCUUGAAGUAAACCCUCAGUUACCUUUUUCAACUUCAUUUUCUCCGCAUGAAGAAAUCUAGUCGAUAAGCACUGCUGUUACACACUGAUAAGAAUGUAUUCAAAGUAAACAGGCACUGCUCAUCCUUUGAUCACAAUCAGUUUUAAAUGCCUAAAAUCUGUACCUUAUUGAUAAUGCUGCUUCAUUCAUACGCAGAGAAAACCAAACUUGCUGUGGAAAGCAUCCAAAGAUGACUAAAUCUUCCAGUGGACAGUUAGUUUUCUCAAAAAACAAAAAUGUAAAAGAAAGUUAGUAUCUCUUAAAGUUUCCAUAAAAAAUGUAUGAGAUGGUAGAUGGUUUCAGUCUAUCAGUAACAUUAAUUAGAUGGAUCCAGUUAUUAUCCUGGGCUAAUGACCAUUGCUUAGCGUGAUAAGGCAAACAAGAACAAUGUGAACAAUUAAGAUGUGCAGAUAAAUCCAAACCCCUUUUGUAAAAUUUUACUGAAGCCUCUAACAAAAAUUUUAUGGAUCAGGAAAUGGGCUGUAAAGGGAUUCAUCUGGAUUUUCAUCCAUGCUAAAGAGCAAGGAAACAGCCAAAGGAUAAAUGGAAAAGCAAAGUCUGGAUACUUGUAUCAGGACAAUCAAUAGCUGAAUAAAUAAUCACCCAGCACUGCUGUUUUUAGAACCAGAGGCUCUCAGAAAAAGGAUUACAAAGUAUAUUUAAAUUAAUAUUCCCCAGAUACAUGUGCCUCAUCCAUUUACUAACUUCUAUAUGUCAUUUUAAUAUAAACGUUAAUGUGUUACAAUGUAACUCUUAGGAGCUUAAAAAAAAAGAUGUUAUUUUUCUCUAGUUAAAAACAGUACUUUAUGUGAAGAGAGAACUAACAAAUAGUCCAGCUAACUUUCUCUAAAUAUAUAAAAUGAACUUACUACAUCUUUCAAACCACUCAGAAAAAGUACUGUUUUAAGGUGUUUUAUAUAAUGUAAUCAAGCAUUUACAGUUACUCCUCCCAUUAAACCCUUAUGUUUCACUUGAAUUACUACAAACUAAAGUCCUCUCUAAAUCUGAAUUAUGAGCAUUAAACCACUCACUGCCUGGCCAUAAGCAAACACCUAUUCUGACAAUACAGAACUGAGAAAAAAUUCUUUCAGAGACCACUUCUUGGUAGCUCUUAGGUAAAUCACCUAACAGUGCGUCAAUCAGUAAUGACAUUAAAUGCAAAGAUGGAAAUUUUCAUAGUUGGACAUUUUUACUCCACACUUUUUAAUUUAAUAAUGGCAAAAUACUUAGAAAGUGGGACCAAGGGGGAAGAAAUUAUAAGGAAUUCAGCUAUGUUCUCAAAAGGAAUAAUAUAAUGCAGUCAGAAUAAGACUGCAUAGGACGCUGAUGGCUCUCAUUCCCAUGCCUCACAUGAUGGGGACAUCUGAACCAGGCCUGUGUCUUAGGGAAGUCUAGUUGAGUGUAAGACUAGAACAGGGGAGCUAGAUAGGGUAGAGAAGGAGGGGUUACAAACUAUCUUCACUAACUUUUUCCAUACCCAGUAAAAGAAUAGAUGAUCUUUAAAUUCAGGUGGGUAAAUUUAGUAUUACUUCAGGAGAUACUAACCAAAAUCCACCUUUUCUCAUGUCCACCAAUUUCAAAAUUAAAGGCUUAAAAAAUUAGCUGAUUAGCUCUGAUGCGUUUAACAUGCAAGUGUCAUCAGCUGACUCUGAGAAACUGAUUGCUAGCCAAUGCCUUUGUAAGCAAACAUGGCCACCAAUUGCCUACAUUUCCGAACUAUGCCAAAGAAACUUACCUUCUUUCCUGUUUGCCAUUUUCAGUCUCAGGACCAUAGGCAGUUCUGCUUUGGACUCCUUUAUUGUUAUUCCUUUUUUAAAAUGCAUGCUUCCUUAAGAAGGAGCUUUGUUCACAGAAAAUUUGUUACCUCAAUGCUCACUAUAUUCUGUUUUAUAUUACACAGACAACCGAAAGUAGUUGGAGAGUCUUCUAAUACCUGAGAUGUCUUAUAAAGAACACUCAUAGCAUUUAAAAGGUUUGUGUGAACCAAACUACAAGUAUCUGAAAGUAUUUCAAAUUGUUCGGUUUACAUUUAAAAGAGUAAGAUUCUUUUAUUUUUUCCUGGUCAGGCUUUCCAGACAUCUCAAAUCCUACAGCCAAGCCUGAACAUAUCUUGCCCAAAUCCAAAUAUGUUGUACCUAUUAUUUGGCUUAAGAAAAUUUAGAAGCUAUCAAGCUUCUAAAUUUAUGAUUAGAUGGUAUUAAAUGCCAAGCCAUAAAAAAUACUUCCCCAAAAGUAUAUAUACCUAGAAAUUUUUAAGUAAUUAAAUUUAUACAUGUGUGUUUUAAAGAAAGGAUUAGAAUAUUCUUAUGUAAUCAAUUCUAACUUUAGCCCUUUACAACUGUAUUAUAACUUUAUUUAACUUGGUAAAAGCCAAAACUGAUGGUUCUUAACAUGGUAUGUGGAAAUCAAAAUUAAAGAAUACAAAAUACCUUAAAAAAAAAAAA
Long non-coding RNA from Orcinus orca (killer whale), 6556 nucleotides. RefSeq lists it as uncharacterized. NCBI's taxonomy places the organism in Eukaryota, Metazoa, Chordata, Mammalia, Artiodactyla, Delphinidae. The transcript has 2 exons. The record is from RefSeq and is a predicted model, not a curated record.